RNA transcript from Pyrus x bretschneideri (Chinese white pear), 2917 nucleotides. It is a transcript of the gene named cyclin-dependent kinase G-2, with no coding region annotated. The transcript is spliced from 9 exons. The record is from RefSeq and is a predicted model, not a curated record. NCBI's taxonomy places the organism in Eukaryota, Viridiplantae, Streptophyta, Magnoliopsida, Rosales, Rosaceae.
GUUCCUUAUUCCGUGGUGAUUUAGAGCUUUGGAUAUAGAGAUUUAUGGCUGCUGGAAGACAUGGGGACCAUCGCGAAAAUGAGUUCAGGGGUCGCGAGUCCAGUUUUGAUUUUCCAAGGAGGGAUUUUGCUACGGCCAAAGAGGACUAUGAAAGGAUUAGGAACGGAAGUCCUGAUGUUGAAAUGGGUCAAGCUAGGGAUUUGAGAGAUAAAAUUAGGGUUAGGCAGAAGGAUAUUAAGGAGGGGAAUGCGGCUAAUGGUGGGUAUCGCUCCUCUUCGGUUAGGAAUGAUUCAAGCAAUAGCAGUGGUUGGGUUGUGAGCCGUGGGCCCAAGCCUUGUGGGUUUUCGGUUAGGGCAUUGGAUAGGGAACCUGGUGAAUUGUCGAGUGAGAGUGGGUCUGACGAUGCUAUUGAAUCGGCAGUGCAGGUCAAAGAAAGUAUGGUUUCAAAAGUUGUGGAGAAUGGAACUCAGUCUCCAAAAGAGAAGAAAAGGAAGUUUUCGCCAAUUGUCUGGGAUAGAGAUGACAAAGGAGUGAGUAAUCCAUCAAAAAGUAAGAUCACCACGGCGGGUGCAGCAAUUCCUCCACCACCAUCAUUGUCUAGGGUACAUCAUCAGUCUCCUAAUGUUAUUUCAGAUAUCAGUGUACAAGUAUCUUCAGCUAAAAUUGAUCAAGUCGAGAAUUUACAAUCUUCCUCACCAGUUAAGGCGCCAGUGGCGUCUGGGUAUGUUAGUAAUGGUGUCUCUGAGUCUCCACUAGGGAUAUCUUCACCAAAUCAGCAAUCGGGUGAUGAUCAUGAAGCAGAGCAGCUAGAAGAUGAAGAAUAUGUCCCCACCCGUAAUAUAUCAUCUUCAAGAUGGGCAGCAGGAAACAUAUCACCUGGUGAUGAAGGUGAAAGUUUAGAGAACCAGGAAAUGCCUAAAAGGAGGAAGAAAACUCCUCUGGUAGGGUCAGUGGAAGAUAGAGUACAGAAUAAUUCAUUAAACUCAGAGUCGGGGGAGCUUAAGAGAGACGAGUCCGAACGAGCAAGAGCGCAGUCAUCUGAAUCUGAUGAAACAGAUGCCCGUAUAAGAUCUUCCAGUAGGGAUGAUUACCAUGAUAAUGAUUCAGAGAGGGAUGACUUUAUGGAUACUGACAAGGAUCAUGGUAAUAAUGAUUCUAGUGUUAGUAAGUCAGACACAGAUUCAGAUGAUGACAAUAACUCUCGCGAGACAGCAGAACCUGCAGCUCCUCCACAAAGAAGCGUGAACAUGCUUCAGGGUUGUAGAAGUGUUGACGAGUUUGAGAGACUAAACAAGAUCGAUGAAGGCACUUAUGGUGUUGUAUAUAGAGCUAUGGAUAAGAAAACUAAAGAAAUUGUGGCCUUGAAGAAGGUAAAGAUGGAGAAGGAAAGAGAAGGUUUCCCAUUGACUUCUCUUAGGGAAAUAAACAUUCUUCUUUCGCUUCAUCACCCAUCAAUUGUUGAUGUGAAGGAAGUGGUGGUGGGGAGUAACCUUGAUAGUAUUUUUAUGGUGAUGGAGUACAUGGAACAUGAUCUUAAAGCACUCAUGGAGACAAAGAAGCAGCCAUUCAGUCAGAGUGAAGUUAAAUGCCUUAUGCUUCAGUUAUUGGCAGGUGUGAAAUAUCUUCAUGAUAAUUGGGUGCUUCAUCGAGAUUUGAAGACAUCUAACUUGCUUAUGAAUAACCGGGGUGAGUUGAAAAUAUGUGACUUUGGGAUGGCUCGUCAGUACGGGAGUCCUUUAAAACCAUAUACUCAUUUGGUGGUUACACUUUGGUACAGGGCACCGGAACUUCUGUUGGGAGCGAAAGAAUAUUCAACAGCUAUUGAUAUGUGGUCACUUGGUUGUAUCAUGGCUGAACUAUUAUCAAAGGAGCCACUUUUCAAUGGGAAAACUGAAUUUGAUCAACUUGACAAGAUUUUUAGAAUCCUUGGCACACCAAAUGAGACAAUCUGGCCCGGAUAUUCCAAGCUUCCUGGAGUGAAGGUCAACUUUGUCAAGCACCCGUAUAAUCUUUUGCGCAAGAAGUUCCCAGCUACGCCAUUUACUGGAUCUCCAGUACUUUCUGAUGCUGGAUUUAAUUUGUUGAACAGGCUUCUAACUUAUGACCCUGAAGAGAGAAUUACAGCUGGAGAUGCUCUGAAUCAUGAGUGGUUUCGUGAAGUUCCUCUUCCUACAACGAAGGAGUUCAUGCCUACCUUUCCUGCUCAUCAUGCUCAGGACAGGCGCACGCGGAGAGUGUUGAAAAGUCCAGAUCCUUUGGAAGAGCAACGUAGAAAGGAGUUGCAGCAAGGGCAAAUAGGAACUGGUGGAGUAUUUGGCUAGUAGAAAUGAAUCAGUGAUCUGUGGCCUUGAUAUUGGACAUGGCUGAGGCGGUUGGUGUGAAGUGGAGGGGCAUUCUUUGCUUUUUCUAGAUGAAGAGUUUGACAGUUACCAUAUUAUUUUUUAAGUAUCAAAGCAAGCAAAUUGAGGAGGUUUCCUGCACUUCCAGGAAUUUAUAGAACUUCAUUUAGUUGUUCCUACGGGCAAACUAGAGGCACGGCUGGAGUCGAAUGGGUUGCUUGAAGAUGGAAUGUAGUUGUCUGCUUCCCAUAAACUUAACCAAAUAUCGUAUGAGAAGAAUCAGUAAGCCUAGGUGGAAUGUAGACAAAUACUUUGCCAUAUGCUUUUCUGCAGGUGGUGGCUGAUUGAGGCUCGAGAGGCAGAUUAAGGCGGUAGAGACAUCGCAUGCACAUACAGGUAAUUAGCUGAUGAAGUUUAUGCACAAUCACAGCUAACGAUCUGCCGUUGUGGGACUCGAUUCUGUCUGCAUUGUCGAAAAUGUUAGUUUGCAUUUGCGCACCGAUUAGUCUGUAGUGUAUUAAUCUCACUGCUUGUCUCGGUCCAUUCCAAAUAUAUAUAUAUAUAUAUAUAUUUUUUUU